Non-coding RNA from Mycena galopus ATCC 62051, 100 nucleotides. The record is from the annotation of a GenBank genome assembly. Lineage: Eukaryota; Fungi; Basidiomycota; Agaricomycetes; Agaricales; Mycenaceae.
ACACUGAUGGUGAAGCGGUUAUCAUGCUUGCCUUCCAGUCUACGGGAACACCUGCAUUCUGCGUUAGCAAGCGGCAGGGGUUCGACUCCCCUUCAGUGUA